GGUGACAUCGUCUAGUGGUAUGAUGCGUGUUUCGGGUACGCGCGGCCUGGGUUCGAAUCCCAGUGUUGCCA
Anncaliia algerae PRA109 is the source of this 71-nucleotide non-coding RNA. The record is from Rfam. NCBI's taxonomy places the organism in Eukaryota, Fungi, Microsporidia, Tubulinosematidae.